Molecule: ribosomal RNA, 439 nt
Filed under: uncultured bacterium
Lineage: Bacteria
Description: partial 16S ribosomal RNA
Rfam family: Bacterial small subunit ribosomal RNA
Source: RNAcentral
CCUACGUGAGGCUGCAGUGGGGAAUAUUGCACAAUGGGCGAAAGCCUGAUGCAGCAACGCCGCGUGAGCGAUGAAGGCCUUCUGGUCGUAAAGCUCUGUCCUCAAGGAAGAUAAUUACGGUACUUGAGGAGUACUCCCCGGCUAACUACGUUCCAGCCGCCGCGGUACUACGUCGGGGGCUAGCUUUAUCCGGAAUUACUGGGCGUAAAGGGUGCGUAGGGGGUUUCUUAAGUCAGAGGUGAAAGGCUACGGCUCAACCGUAGUAAGCCUUUGAAACUGGGGAACUUGAGUGCAGGAGAGGAGAGUGGAAUUCCUAGUGUAGCGGUGAAAUGCGUAGAUAUUAGGAGGAACACCAGUUGCGAAGGCGGCUCUCUGGACUGUAACUGACACUGAGGCACGAAAGCGUGGGGAGCAAACAGGAUUAGAUACCCUGGUAGUC